This 492-nucleotide ribosomal RNA is filed under the name uncultured bacterium. RNAcentral describes it as "partial 16S ribosomal RNA". It matches the Rfam family "Bacterial small subunit ribosomal RNA", at positions 29 to 507 of the family's 1533-position model. The record is from RNAcentral.
AGUGAACGCUAGCGGUAGGCCUAACACAUGCAAGUCGAACGGCAGCACAGUAAGAGCUUGCUCUUACGGGUGGCGAGUGGCGGACGGGUGAGGAAUACAUCGGAAUCUAAUUUUUCGUGGGGGAUAACGUAGGGAAACUUACGCUAAUACCGCAUACGACCUACGGGUGAAAGCAGGGGAUCUUCGGACCUUGCGCGAUUGAAUGAGCCGAUGUCGGAUUAGCUAGUUGGCGGGGUAAAGGCCCACCAAGGCGACGAUCCGUAGCUGGUCUGAGAGGAUGAUCAGCCACACUGGAACUGAGACACGGUCCAGACUCCUACGGGAGGCAGCAGUGGGGAAUAUUGGACAAUGGGCGCAAGCCUGAUCCAGCCAUACCGCGUGGGUGAAGAAGGCCUUCGGGUUGUAAAGCCCUUUUGUUGGGAAAGAAAAGCAGCAGGUUAAUACCCCGCUGUUCUGACGGUACCCAAAGAAUAAGCACCGGCUAACUUCGUG